Macaca mulatta (Rhesus monkey) is the source of this 117-nucleotide unclassified non-coding RNA. It matches the Rfam family "Metazoan signal recognition particle RNA". Rfam says of the family: The signal recognition particle (SRP) is a universally conserved ribonucleoprotein. The record is from Ensembl. Lineage: Eukaryota; Metazoa; Chordata; Mammalia; Primates; Cercopithecidae.
GCCAGGCGUGGUGGCUCACGCCUGUAAUCCCAGCACUUUGGGAGGCCGAGGUGGGUGGAUCACCUGAGGUCAGGAGUUCAAGACCAGCCUGGCCAACAUGGUGAAACCCCGUCUCUA